This 468-nucleotide ribosomal RNA is filed under the name uncultured bacterium. RNAcentral's name for it is "partial 16S ribosomal RNA". It matches the Rfam family "Bacterial small subunit ribosomal RNA", at positions 28 to 507 of the family's 1533-position model. The record is from RNAcentral.
GACGAACGCUGGCGGCGUGCUUAACACAUGCAAGUCGAACAGAAAGGCCCUGCUUUUGUGGGGUGCUCGGGUGGCGAACGGGUGAGUAACACGUGAGUAACCUGCCCUUGACUUUGGGAUAACUUCAGGAAACUGGGGCUAAUACCGGAUAGGAGCUCCUGCUGCAUGGUGGGGGUUGGAAAGUUUCGGCGGUUGGGGAUGGACUCGCGGCUUAUCAGCUUGUUGGUGGGGUAGUGGCUUACCAAGGCUUUGACGGGUAGCCGGCCUGAGAGGGUGACCGGCCACAUUGGGACUGAGAUACGGCCCAGACUCCUACGGGAGGCAGCAGUGGGGAAUAUUGCACAAUGGGCGGAAGCCUGAUGCAGCAACGCCGCGUGCGGGAUGACGGCCUUCGGGUUGUAAACCGCUUUCGCCUGUGACGAAGCGUGAGUGACGGUAAUGGGUAAAGAAGCACCGGCUAACUACGUG